This 436-nucleotide ribosomal RNA is filed under the name uncultured bacterium. Its description in RNAcentral is "bacterial SSU rRNA". It matches the Rfam family "Bacterial small subunit ribosomal RNA", at positions 29 to 507 of the family's 1533-position model. The record is from RNAcentral.
AACGAACGCUGGCGGCAGGCCUAACACAUGCAAGUCGAGCGAGGACUUCGGUCCUAGCGGCGGACGGGUGAGUAACGCGUGGGAACGUGCCCCCUUUCUACGGAAUAGCCCCCGGGAAACUGGGAGUAAUACCGUAUAAGCCCUACGGGGGGAAAGAUUUAUCGGGAAGGGAUCGGCCCGCGUUGGAUUAGGUAGUUGGUGGGGUAAUGGCCUACCAAGCCGACGAUCCAUAGCUGGUUUGAGAGGAUGAUCAGCCACACUGGGACUGAGACACGGCCCAGACUCCUACGGGAGGCAGCAGUGGGGAAUCUUAGACAAUGGGCGCAAGCCUGAUCUAGCCAUGCCGCGUGAGCGAUGAAGGCCUUAGGGUUGUAAAGCUCUUUCAGGGGGGAAGAUAAUGACUGUACCCCCAGAAGAAGCCCCGGCUAACUCCGUG